Molecule: small nuclear RNA, 107 nt
Organism: Sorex araneus (European shrew)
Lineage: Eukaryota; Metazoa; Chordata; Mammalia; Eulipotyphla; Soricidae
Source: RefSeq, a predicted model, not a curated record
GUGCUUGCUUCAGUAGCACAUACACUAAAACUGGAACAAUACAGAAAACAUUAGCAAGGCCCCUGUGCAAGGAUGACACGGAAAUUCAUGAAGUGUUCCCUAUUUUU